GGUUCCAUAGUGUAGCGGUUAGCAAGUCUGCUUUACACACAGAAGGUCCUGGGUUCGUGCCCCAAUGGAUCCA
Pteropus alecto (black flying fox) is the source of this 73-nucleotide non-coding RNA. NCBI's taxonomy places the organism in Eukaryota, Metazoa, Chordata, Mammalia, Chiroptera, Pteropodidae. The record is from Rfam.